UGUGUGCGAACACGUGCCUCGCACGGCACUGAAACAGCCGUUAAUGUUUGCAUGCGUAGCCACGCGGAAAAAUGCCUAGGAAAGUCUUACGGAGCUGAUACCGGAGAGGAAAAAGAAAAAAAGAGAAAAAAAAAGAAACGAAUCGUACGGUUACGCGAGAGUCGGAUAAAACCGUGCCGCGUUUUAUUAUUUCGUUUCGUGGACUUUCUCUCGUAGAGAAGACUGUGCCUGUCAACCCGAUUGCGCGGAAAUCUUAACCUCUCGGGCUGGUUCUGUUGCACGUGAAACUUUCUUUGAUUAACUCAUUUCAUUUCCUGUUUCAUUGUUACGGUAUACGUGAAAUCGAACUGAUAAAAACGUUUAAGACAGUGUUUUACUGGUUAGGAGAAUUAUAAUCGUGAAUAGGAAUCGACUAUCGUGACGUCUGUUUAGAGACAGAUCAUUUACGACUGUAACGCACUAUUAUUUAUAUACAGUGUAAAUUAUAAUUUGUGAAAUUAAUGUAAAAGAAAAUUAUUCGUACAACUUCACACUAGAAAAGCUUCAUUACAGAAAUUUAAAACUGCAACUACAAGAAAAUAAACACGUUCAGUGCCACGUGUAGAUGUGGUACACGUUAAUUUUUGUAAGAACAUGCCAUAUUGGCGACGCCGAUUUCUUAAACGUGAAAUGUCACCGAUCGCAAAGGGUUAACACGUUCACGCCGGCGUGUACUACCGGUGGCACACAAUUAAUGGCUCAUUAGACGCCGUCAAAUGGGAAAGAGUGGAAAUGAAAUCUGAACCUUCAAAAAUUCGAAUCGACGAAGAAUUUUCCUAGGAGCAGGAUAAAUCGUACAAUAAAUUCCCGUGAAUCUAGCGUGAACGAAGCGUCGUAUAAAUUUCCUGGAAGUUCCGAGCAUCCCUAACCUAAAACACGGCAGACAAGGGGGACACGGUGGAAGCCAGAAAUUCAUAUUCUCCGCGACGCACCUCGGCGAGUCAUCGUGAAAGACAUCACGAAUUUGUCCCGCGCGUGGUCUACGAAAGGGAAAGAAAAGGUAGAGGCUGAGCCUCGGCCUACGUUUGCUGGACGUCGCUCAAGGUGACGCGCGUUGAAUAAUUCAGAAACGAAGCUCGGCAUGCGUUCUGCGGCUACGCUCGGCGUCCCGUACCUUACGCAGAUCGGUAGGUCGGAAAGAAAAGGUGGCAAGGGAUAAGUCGCUUUGCAUGUGGAUGCGUAUAAACGGAUCGGAGAGACUGAACUCGCCGCGGUAUACAUCGGUAUGUCGGGUACCGUAACUCGGCAGUCGCCAAUGACUCGAAUCAAAGCCAAAGCUCUCUCGGGCCCGUUGCUUGGAAAAGUCAUCCAGCCGUGAAGGAAGGAUUGAAAUUGUUCUACGGAAUUCGCCAAGGAUUGCGUCAUAGAGAAGUGAACGAGACGACUGUGUAUGAAUUUCAACGUUAGUCAUCAAAACAAUAGAGGAUUGAAUAUUGUGUUUUUGAUGAAAGUAUUUAAUGGAAGAAAUUUGACAAGGGAAUCUACGAUAUUAAAAGUUUCAUACUUGGACUUGUAAUGUGAUCCUUGGAUACUUUGGAAAAUGAAUAAUUCUCUUAAUGCUUAGGAUUGUUAUAGCAUAGUUUAUGUAUAUAGAGAAUCUAUGUUAUUAAUAAAAUGUUCAAAUUUGAGCUUGCAAUAUGAUCCUUGGAUACUUUGGAAAAU
Molecule: non-coding RNA, 1701 nt
Organism: Nomia melanderi (Alkali bee)
Lineage: Eukaryota; Metazoa; Arthropoda; Insecta; Hymenoptera; Halictidae
Source: RefSeq, a predicted model, not a curated record